Molecule: small RNA, 599 nt
Filed under: Pan troglodytes (chimpanzee)
Lineage: Eukaryota; Metazoa; Chordata; Mammalia; Primates; Hominidae
Description: processed transcript
Source: RNAcentral
UAGGGGCUCCCCCGUUCUAGGUCAUGCCUCUUGCUCUCUUCCUUGGCCUGUGUUGAGUGAGGUGUGUUCCUGUGGUGGACGAAAGUCUGUACGAUGGUUGGUGGCAUUGGUCCUUAAUCCUUUGGGUCUGUUUUAAGAUUAAUUAAAAGAAGAAUGAACUAUAAUCCUUGAAGAUAACUGGGCAGUUUUUUAAGUCGGAGGCUGUUCUUACUGGUGUGAGGAUUUACACACGUCUUCAGUUUUUCAGCACAGACCAGCAGACCAUCAUUUUUAGAGGAAAUACUCCCUCUGCCCUCCUUUUUGGUUUCCUUGGUGGUAAAGAUUAAAUUUGGUUGCAUCAUUUUGACUUGUGUUUGAGUCUAGAUUUUAUGGCACAAGGAAUGGCAUAAACUUUUCAUGUGUUUUGGUUAAAACAAACCAGACCAUUGCAUUGACCCUGGACAUCUUUAACUGAGAAAUUGGUAACUUUAUUUUAAUAUGUAUAUCUGAAGAAUUCAAGAAAACAAAGGCAUCCUCAGAGGUGUGCCUUUUUUCUUUAUUAUUAGAGGCAAAACGAACAAUUUUAUAGGAUUUGUAGUGAAAUUAUACCAGAUUAUAAG